AUUUGUUGUGAAAUUAUUCCUGAGGGGGUGGGGCAUUGGAAGCGUUUCGCAAUUUAACUUGCCCGUGGGGUCGGGCAUAGGUGGGGAUUUGGCCUGAGACUGCUAGUGAAGGUCAGCGGCAACCCGAAUGAGAAUGGCUUUGCAGUGUCUCUGUACAGAGUGUGACGUCUAUUGCCUGUGUGGACAAGGUGAAAGUGGUGAGAUGAUCGCAUGUGACAGUCCCAGCUGCCCAAUUGUUUGGUUCCAUAUGGAUUGCAUUGGCAUGACGACUGCUCCAGACGGAGAAUGGCUUUGCAGGGUCAGUAAAGGUUAACCAAGAUGUGCCAGCUACUGAAAACCCUGUCCCCAGGGUGGGGCAUUUGGUAAAGAUUCGCUAUUGGACUGUGUCCCUAGGGUGGGGCAUUUGGUAAAGAUUCGCUAUUGGACUGUGUCCCCAGGGUGGGGCAUUUGGUAAAGAUUCGCUAUUGGACUUUGACCCUAGGGUGGGGCAUUUGGUAAAGAUUCGCUAUUGGACUGUGUCCCUAGGGUGGGGCAUUUGGUAAAGAUUCGCUAUUGGACUGUGUCCCCAGGGUGGGGCAUUUGGUAAAGAUUCGCUAUUGGACUGUGUCCCCAGGGUGAGGCAUUUGGUAAAGAUUCGCUAUUGGACUGUGUCCCCAGGGUGGGGCAUUUGGUAAAGAUUCGCUAUUGGACUGUGUCCCCAGGGUGGGGCAUUUGGUAAAGAUUCGCUAUUGGACUGUGUCCCCAGGGUGGGGCAUUUGGUAAAGAUUCGCUAUUGGACUGUGUCCCCAGGGUGGGGCAUUUGGUAAAGAUUCGCUAUUGGACUGUGUCCCCAGGGUGGGGCAUUUGGUGAAGAUUCGCUAUUGAACUGUCCCCAGGGUGGGGCAUUUGGUAAAGAUUCGCUAUUGGACUGUGUCCCCAGGGGUGGGGACAUUAAAUGAGAUUUGACCAAGGGUUUUGUCUAAUCCCCACCUUGUCCCGGGGUGGGGGGGUCGGGGUUUUCGUUGACUCAUGCAUAACCAGGUUGAAUAAUGCGGUGUUAAAGUACCUUAAAAAGAAUCAGUUUGAUGUGAGUUUACACAAGUAAAUACCUUUAUAUUAA
Long non-coding RNA from Nematostella vectensis (starlet sea anemone), 1099 nucleotides. RefSeq lists it as uncharacterized. The record is from RefSeq and is a predicted model, not a curated record. Lineage: Eukaryota; Metazoa; Cnidaria; Anthozoa; Actiniaria; Edwardsiidae. The transcript has 3 exons.